RNAcentral lists this ribosomal RNA (253 nucleotides) under uncultured bacterium. RNAcentral's name for it is "partial 16S ribosomal RNA". It matches the Rfam family "Bacterial small subunit ribosomal RNA", at positions 524 to 776 of the family's 1533-position model. The record is from RNAcentral.
UACGGAGGGAGCUAGCGUUGUUCGGAAUUACUGGGCGUAAAGCGUGCGCAGGCGGUUCGUUGUGUCGGUGGUGAAAUCCCCGGGCUUAACCUGGGAAUGGCCAUGGAAACUGGCGAACUGGAGUGCGGCAGAGGGGGGUGGAAUUCCGCGUGUAGCAGUGAAAUGCGUAGAGAUGCGGAGGAACACCGAUGGCGAAGGCAGCCCCCUGGGCUAGCACUGACGCUCAGGCACGAAAGCGUGGGUAGCAAACGGG